UUAGGCUAACCUAUUCUUUGCAAAUACAUAUAUGUAUUUNCCCCAUAUAU
Molecule: transfer RNA, 50 nt
Filed under: Gobiodon erythrospilus
Lineage: Eukaryota; Metazoa; Chordata; Actinopteri; Gobiiformes; Gobiidae
Description: partial tRNA-Pro
Source: RNAcentral